Molecule: long non-coding RNA, 465 nt
Filed under: Gossypium raimondii (Peruvian cotton)
Lineage: Eukaryota; Viridiplantae; Streptophyta; Magnoliopsida; Malvales; Malvaceae
Description: long non-coding RNA (GRAI_LNC004692)
Source: RNAcentral
AAGGUCUAGCACAACCGGGUAAAUUGGCCUUUUUUAGUCUUUGCUUCAUUCUCGUUACACGACAACGAGCAAAGAGGGGCAGCUGUAAUGACCCAAUAUUGCCCGGCCCGAUAUAACUAAAAAAUAAAACCAAUAUAAAAACAAAAUUAAAAGUCCAAAAAACCAUAGUGUCCAGAUUACAAAUCGACACGUCCCAAAAAACUAAAUGCUAAGCCCAAAUCACCUAACCCUAACCCAACACAAAGCAGUUUUUCAAUCAGAAAACCCUAGCAUUACUGCCCUCCAGCCGCCGCAACAGUAGCCUCCCACACACGCGUCUCCAUGCCACGUUGGCAUUCGUACGCCCCAGCUGGCCCUCGUACAACCGUACUUGCAGCAAACAAUAAGACAACAGCAAAAAAAGAAGAAAAAAGAAAAGCAAAAAUAACAACAGGAAAGAAAAUAGAAAAAGAUAGCAGAGAAAGA